This is a long non-coding RNA of Lucilia sericata (common green bottle fly), 583 nucleotides long. RefSeq lists it as uncharacterized. Lineage: Eukaryota; Metazoa; Arthropoda; Insecta; Diptera; Calliphoridae. The transcript is spliced from 7 exons. The record is from RefSeq and is a predicted model, not a curated record.
CUACGCGUGGGUGAAGAAGAAGCACCCAAACAAAAAAAAAUAUCAAUGGAUACAACGAGGUUCUGGUGGAUUUCUAUGGCCGUAUAAGGGGAUUUUAAAUAAGGGAUCAUGUUGGCUGCCUUGGGCUUAUAUAAAAAACUGAUGGCCGAUUCUGAAAGAUGGCGGAUCGAAGCAGAAUGAACUGGUUUUGUUCCAGAUGGGCCGGUGGACUAGGCAUUAAGGUGGUUCCGGAAAUUUAAGCUAAUAAAAUUCAAUUGGACCUGGGAUUUGGCCUUGGUUGCUGCUUCCGUUCAGGAAAGGUUAUAAAUUCAGAUUGGACCUGGACCGGAAGCUUGAAUGCGGUAUAUGAACCCAAUUAUUGUUCUAAAACGUUGAAUCAUCAAAUUUUGGUUCCUGAAGAAAAUCAACAAUACCAGCCAACUGUAAGAUCGAGAGGAAAAUUUCUCCAAUCAACGCAAAUUUUAAUCGGUAAGCGAAAACUUUAAAUUUCUAUUAUUAACAUCUAAUUUUAAGUUAUUCUGUUUAGUCUAAUAUUAGAUUUAGUAUUUAAAUUAGAUUUAAAAGCAAACUAUAGAUAUAUUGC